UGUGGGAGCGAGCUUGCUCGCGAUGGCGUCGGUUCUGCAGCAUUGAUGGUGACUGACACACCGCUAUCGCGAGCAAGCUCGUUCCCACA
RNAcentral lists this unclassified non-coding RNA (89 nucleotides) under Pseudomonas brassicacearum. The record is from RNAcentral. Lineage: Bacteria; Pseudomonadati; Pseudomonadota; Gammaproteobacteria; Pseudomonadales; Pseudomonadaceae.